RNAcentral lists this ribosomal RNA (429 nucleotides) under Bacteroidota bacterium. Its description in RNAcentral is "Bacteroidetes bacterium partial 16S ribosomal RNA". It matches the Rfam family "Bacterial small subunit ribosomal RNA", at positions 355 to 776 of the family's 1533-position model. The record is from RNAcentral. Lineage: Bacteria; Pseudomonadati; Bacteroidota.
UAGGGAAUCUUCCGCAAUGGACGCAAGUCUGACGGAGCAACGCCGCGUGAGUGAAGAAGGAUUUCGGUUCGUAAAACUCUGUUGUUAGAGAAGAACAGCGCAUAGAGUAACUGUUAUGCGUGUGACGGUAUCUAACCAGAAAGCCACGGCUAACUACGUGCCAGCAGCCGCGGUAAUACGUAGGUGGCAAGCGUUGUCCGGAUUUAUUGGGCGUAAAGCGAGCGCAGGCGGUCAAUUAAGUCUGAUGUGAAAGCCCCCGGCUCAACCGGGGUGAGUCAUUGGAGACUGGUUAACUUGAGUGCAGAAGAGGAGAGUGGAAAUCCACGUGUAGCGGUGAAAUGCGUCGAUAUAUGGAGGAACACAACUGGCGAAGGCCACUCUAUGGUCUGUAUCUGACGCUGAGGCUCGAAAGCGUGAGUAGCAAACAGG